This 293-nucleotide ribosomal RNA is filed under the name uncultured bacterium. RNAcentral describes it as "partial 16S ribosomal RNA". It matches the Rfam family "Bacterial small subunit ribosomal RNA", at positions 28 to 319 of the family's 1533-position model. The record is from RNAcentral.
GACGAACGCUGGCGGCGUGCUUAACACAUGCAAGUCGAGCGAGGCCCCACCCUCGGGUGGGUGUCCUAGCGGCGAACGGGUGAAUAACACGUGGGCAACCUGCCCUCAGCACUGGGAUAACCCCGGGAAACCGGGGCGUAAUACCGGAUACGACCACAGGCGGCAUCUUCUUGUGGUGGAAAGAUUUAUCGGCUGAGGAUGGGCCCGCGGCCUAUCAGCUUGUUGGUGGGGUAACUGCCUACCAAGGCAACGACGGGUAGCCGGCCUGAGAGGGCGACCGGCCACACUGGGAC